Molecule: long non-coding RNA, 2656 nt
Organism: Girardinichthys multiradiatus
Lineage: Eukaryota; Metazoa; Chordata; Actinopteri; Cyprinodontiformes; Goodeidae
Exons: 3
Source: RefSeq, a predicted model, not a curated record
UCUGUUUAUUAUAACUGUGUAACUUCUCAAUGCAGUUGACAUAAAUCCCAGCAAGUUGCAGAUUUAACAGGCUGUGUGUGAUUGUUCAGCAAAUACACACAAAUAUCACACUUACAGACACUCACAUGGUGCUUUUCCUCACAGCCUCACUAAAACCAACCUGGAAUGUGUUCUUUAAUUCUUUAAAAAAAUAUUUAUUUACUGAUAAUGGGACAAGUAUUUGUAAUCCAAAGAACAGCUAUAUUUAUUCAAAAUAAUCUAUCAGACUUUAACUACUCUCAUUCUGUUGUUUUUAUUAUAUGACUUGAUAAGUGAUGCUAGUGAGAGGGCAGCUAUUUAAGGGCUUCACUAACCAUGGGCUGAUGUGUUGAAGCAGAACUGUGAGUCAGAGAGUUUCAGCAAAAGAAUCACACAAACAUGGUCAUGGUUUUCUCUGAACGCAGCUGUGAGUCAUGUUGGGCGAAUUCCUCAUGUAAACACUGGCCUAACACACCACAGUUGUACAUACGUGGGAGCAUUCGGCUCAGUUUUCUUCCUGCUGGAGAGAAAAAGUGAACCUCGCAACAACAGGAGGCGCCCACAUAACAAUUUAUCAAUCAAAGAAGAAUCAUCUAAAAAAGCUGCCGCUUUAACAUUGCUGUUUAACAAUGCAUGAAUGAAGAGUGAUUUUUAGUUCUUUGUGCCAUUUAGGGCUCUUUUUGGAUAACUGUGCAGAGUGAUUAUGCAUAUUAAUUCACUGCAAAUAGUAAAUAGGUAUAGCUUCUUAAAAAAUAGUUUUAUAACCAAAAGAAAAAGUUUUCCUAUAUUUGCUUUUCAUAAUGCAAAGCACAGGUGAAGCUGUGAAAGAGUCCAGUUGAAAUCAGUCCAGUAAUUUAUUCUGCAGACUCUUUGCUAUGAAAGAGGGUCAGAUGUGCUUGAAAUACCCCAAAGUUUGGGGAAACUGCUGUUAGCAACACUGGACUAGAAGGAACUGCUUUCCAAAUUAUCAAUAACUUCAAGCUAAGAGGUUCAGAUCCAGUAACGAAAGGUUAUUGAUGUCCAAGAGUUUCCAGCCGGCACCAGAACUGUCCCCUCAUCUGAGGACCGUGCUACAGAGUUGUGCUGCCACCAGCACAAAGCUUGAUCAGCAGGUAAGUGUAUUUGCAUGCAUGCACUGCUAGGUGAGGACAUGGAGAAUGGCCUUGUGACAAGAAUUGAAGCAAAGAAGUAAAUAUUUUCAGCAAUUCUUAUUUUAUGUAAAGCUAUUUGUGUUGCCCUCAUUGCACAUAGAACGUGCUUCUGCCAAGAUGUUGUUUGUAACUGGUUCAAUCGAGGAGGAAGAAAUGAAUUAAAAUCAGUCUGUGUUAACACAAGAUAAUGUCCUAUAACACUACUCUCUGCAAGGUUAUAAUGUUUAAAAUAUACUAAGCAGAGGUGAACUUUCUGUAUGAAGGUCGCACAUCUCCAGCACACACAAGGAAGUUUUUGAUUUCUCUCAGAGUGACAACUUUUGCUAAGAACUCGUGUUUGCUAUAUUGCAACUCCAGCACAAACAUCGUUCUCUAUUGGGCCUCGCUGCCUUUGUUGAGCUGGUGUGUCGAGCUUGCUGCUUCCUCAAAUUUGAACUGGAGAGGACAGUAGCUGACAGACAUUUAUUCAUGUAUUAUAACCCUGCACAGUACACAGUAUGCUGCAGUGGGAAACGAUAUGCACCUUGAUGUAUUUCAUGAUUCCAACAUGGUGAAAUUGUGGGACAUAAGUGUCCUCAAUGUUUUCAGUCAAGCACGAAAAACCCAGGAAACCCAUGCCCCUCUUCUGCCUAAGAAAAUCUGUUCCUGACUGCAUCCGUGCACACAUUUAACCCGAAAUACACACACGAGCGCUCCCCAAAACACAUGUUCACACUCCAUAAUAAUGUGGACAAUCAUGUCUCUCCUCCUCCAUGCUGAGUGUCAUUAAGUCACUGGGCAGCAGCCGCUCAGUGGGACUGAAGCUCGGAGAGCCUGUGUGUGAGCUCCACACUGCACAGGAUCUCUGGAGCGACGGAGGCUCCUUGCGCAGUCUGCUCAGGGUGACAGUUGCAGCAGUCUCUCGUUAGCCUCCUCUCUGGAUAUCUUAUGGAAGUACCAGCAGCCGGAAAACAUGCACCUAACCUCCUAUAGGAUCUAAAACCCAAAUUUUUGUCUAUGAGGAGGAGAAGGUGGACCUUGCAUCCGGGGAUAAUUUUUCCGCCAGCCUGUUUGUCUCUCUCUAUGUCUCUCCUCAUCGGCUGUUGCAGUUUAUCGCUCGAUUUUUUUUUUUUUUUAGUCUUCAUAAAAGAGGCGCUGCUGUUUCUUAGAGUCUGCCUGCUAGUCCAGCAUCCAUGAAUUCAGAUAAAAAUGCGUACCUCGGCAAAGACAAAGGCAUCAUGCGGAAGAGAGCUCUGCUCCUUCGGAAGGGUUGCAGCUUCGAGAUAACCAGCUCCGCCUCAGAGGACCUGGGCUGCAGGCGUGGAGACUUCAGCAGGAAACACUAUGGUUCAGUCGAGCUGGACCGCCCUACGGAUUUUUGUGGUCACCCCAAACCACAUGCAAGUUUGAACUGAACUAUAAAGAACGCUUUGACAAACCGAUAAAACACUUGAACAAGGAAGAGAAAGAAGAAGUGAUCAGGCAAGGAGGAUAAAGCUGCAAUGAAA